Molecule: ribosomal RNA, 561 nt
Filed under: Labeo fimbriatus (fringed-lipped peninsula carp)
Lineage: Eukaryota; Metazoa; Chordata; Actinopteri; Cypriniformes; Cyprinidae
Description: partial 16S ribosomal RNA
Rfam family: Bacterial large subunit ribosomal RNA
Source: RNAcentral
CCAGCCUGCCAGUGACUACAAGUUCAACGGCCGCGGUAUUUUGACCGUGCAAAGGUAGCGCAAUCACUUGUCUUUUAAAUAGAGACCUGUAUGAAUGGCUAAACGAGGGCUUAACUGUCUCCCCUUUCCAGUCAGUGAAAUUGAUCUGCCCGUGCAGAAGCGGACAUAAAAAUACAAGACGAGAAGACCCUUUGGAGCUUAAGGUACAAAACUCAACCACGUCAAGCAACUCAAUAAAAAGCAAAAACUUUGUGGAAUAUGAGAUUUUACCUUCGGUUGGGGCGACCACGGAGGAAAACAAAGCCUCCAAGUGGAUUGGGAAAACCUCCUAAAACCAAGAGAGACAUCUCUAAGCCACAGAACAUCUGACCAAACAUGAUCCGGCUGCCCGAAGCCGAUCAACGAACCAAGUUACCCUAGGGAUAACAGCGCAAUCCUCUCCCAGAGUCCAUAUCGACGAGAGGGUUUACGACCUCGAUGUUGGAUCAGGACAUCCUAAUGGUGCAGCCGCUAUUAAGGGUUCGUUUGUUCAACGAUUAAAGUCCUACGUGAUCUGAGUUC